AACCCUACGGGGCGCAGCAGUUAGGAAUAUUCGUCAAUGGGGGAAACCCUGAACGAGCAAUGCCGCGUGAACGAUGACGGUCCUCUGGAUUGUAAAGUUCUGCUGUUUGGGAAGAACGGCUCUAAUAGGAAAUGAUUAGAGAUUGACUGUACCAUUCAAGAAAGCCACGGCUAACUACGUGCCAGCAGCCGCGGUAAUACGUAGGUGGCGAGCGUUAUCCGGAUUUAUUGGGUGUAAAGGGAGCGUAGGUGGCAAGGCAAGUCAGAUGUGAAAACCCGGGGCCCAACCCCGGGAGUGCAUUUGAA
This 305-nucleotide ribosomal RNA is filed under the name uncultured bacterium. Its description in RNAcentral is "bacterial SSU rRNA". It matches the Rfam family "Bacterial small subunit ribosomal RNA", at positions 335 to 631 of the family's 1533-position model. The record is from RNAcentral.